RNAcentral lists this ribosomal RNA (253 nucleotides) under uncultured bacterium. RNAcentral describes it as "partial 16S ribosomal RNA". It matches the Rfam family "Bacterial small subunit ribosomal RNA", at positions 524 to 776 of the family's 1533-position model. The record is from RNAcentral.
UACGUAGGGUGCAGGCGUUAAUCGGAAUUACUGGGCGUAAAGCGUGCGCAGGCGGUUUCUUAAGUCAGAUGUGAAAGCCCCGGGCUUAACCUGGGAACUGCGUUUGAAACUGGGAGACUUGAGUGUGGCAGAGGGGGGUGGAAUUCCACGUGUAGCAGUGAAAUGCGUAGAUAUGUGGAGGAACACCGAUGGCGAAGGCGGCCACCUGGACGGUCACUGACGCUGAGGAGCGAAAGCGUGGGGAGCGAACAGG